GGGCGCAAGCCUGAUGCAGCGACGCCGCGUGAGGGAUGGAGGCCUUCGGGUUGUAAACCUCUUUUGUUAGGGAGCAAGGCACUUUGUGUUGAGUGUACCUUUCGAAUAAGCACCGGCUAACUACGUGCCAGCAGCCGCAGUAAUACGUAGGGUGCAAGCGUUAUCCGGAAUUAUUGGGCGUAAAGGGCUCGUAGGCGGUUCGUCGCGUCCGGUGUGAAAGUCCAUCGCUUAACGGUGGAUCCGCGCCGGGUACGGGCGGGCUUGAGUGCGGUAGGGGAGACUGGAAUUCCCGGUGUAACGGUGGAAUGUGUAGAUAUCGGGAAGAACACC
RNAcentral lists this ribosomal RNA (330 nucleotides) under uncultured bacterium. Its description in RNAcentral is "bacterial SSU rRNA". It matches the Rfam family "Bacterial small subunit ribosomal RNA", at positions 373 to 710 of the family's 1533-position model. The record is from RNAcentral.